GACUAGGUAUAAAAGACGGUCUGUUUUGAUUAAAGGAAGUUUAAGCUUUCUUACGGUUCGAAGGCUAUCAAAAGACGUAUUUAAACUAGGUAAGAGAUUUUUUAAUUUAUGACUUGGAUCUUGUUCAAUUUGUUCAAAAAGCUUUAUACAUGAAUAUUUUCGUCUGUCAUAAAGUGACUGUAAAUGUCCCUGUUCCAAGGCUUCCUUAUACCUCGUUCCAGGAAAAAUUAUCCUCAUUGCACGUCUUUGUACUCGUUCUAAAUCGUCGGACAGAUAUGUAGGAAGACUUGAAUGAAAAACUUCACAAGCAUAUUGCAGAAUCGACCUGAUACACGCAUUAGUAACUUCUAGUAGAACCAAUUAGAUGUUUCUCAUCAACA
Molecule: non-coding RNA, 380 nt
Organism: Paramuricea clavata
Lineage: Eukaryota; Metazoa; Cnidaria; Anthozoa; Malacalcyonacea; Plexauridae
Source: the annotation of a GenBank genome assembly